This 506-nucleotide ribosomal RNA is filed under the name uncultured bacterium. Its description in RNAcentral is "partial 16S ribosomal RNA". It matches the Rfam family "Bacterial small subunit ribosomal RNA", at positions 30 to 523 of the family's 1533-position model. The record is from RNAcentral.
AUUGAACGCUGGCGGCAGGCCUAACACAUGCAAGUCGAACGGUAACAGGAAGCAGCUUGCUGCUUCGCUGAUGAGUGGCGGACGGGUGAGUAAUGUCUGGGAAACUGCCUGAUGGAGGGGGAUAACUACUGGAAACGGUAGCUAAUACCGCAUAACGUCGCAAGACCAAAGAGGGGGACCUUCGGGCCUCUUGCCAUCGGAUGUGCCCAGAUGGGAUUAGCUAGUAGGUUGGGUAACGGCUCACCUAGGCGACGAUCCCUAGCUGGUCUGAGAGGAUGACCAGCCACACUGGAACUGAGAACCGGUCCAGACUCCUACGGGAGGCAGCGGUGGGGAAUAUUGCACAAUGGGCGCAAGCCUGAUGCAGCCAUGCCGCGUGUAUGAAGGAGGCCUUCGGGUUGUAAAGUACUUUCAGCGGGGAGGAAGGCGAUAAGGUUAAUAACCUUGUCGAUUGACGUUACCCGCAGAAGAAGCACCGGCUAACUCCGUGCCAGCAGCCGCCGUAA